This 771-nucleotide long non-coding RNA is filed under the name Phasianus colchicus (ring-necked pheasant). RNAcentral's name for it is "lncRNA (ENSPCLG00000022369.1)". The record is from RNAcentral. Lineage: Eukaryota; Metazoa; Chordata; Aves; Galliformes; Phasianidae.
GAGCCCGUUUCUCGGCGUUCCCGAGCAGUUGCAAGCGGUACCGCGGCGUCCUGAGGGAGGUUUGGCUGUAAGCAGACCUUCCCCCGUCCGCUCCGCUGUUCAAAGUGAUUAAUAGGCGUGUUACUGUAUGUCGCGUUCUUCGAAGAUCCCAAAUUAUUCUGCUGUGAAGGAACAAUAACAGUUGUUAACAUAAUUAGUAAAAGUGGCCUUAGACCACUUCCAUAGAAGGUUCCAUCUUAGGAAGCUGAUAAUUUGAGGUUCUUAAGCUUCUGGAGAAGUUUUGUCUGGUGUCUGACAGUAGAAGAACAUGCAUCCCGGCAAAAUUGGCACUCCUGUACCAUCAAGGACAAACAUGGCUCUUAUUUUUGAUAGACCUGCCACACACAACUUGGGAGAUACUACUUAAUGCUGAUUUUACCCUCCAUGGAGCUUUGCAGGUGCAAAAUGGAAAUACUUCUACUACAAUACCUCAGAGAUUACUUAAACUUCAGUGAAACAAGAAGAUGCAAUGAUAUGUACAUAUAAUACAUAGAAAAGUUUCCAAGGAAACAAACAACUUUAUAAUAAUGGCAGGAGUGCAUUUGGCUGUUCCUUCGAGUGGAGAACAUUCAGUAAUGCGGAUAACAAACAUUCCUGUCCAUAGUCCUUAAAGUAGCAUUAUUUUGACAUUUGACAAUGCUACAUUAAAGUAGCAUUAUUUUGACAUUUCAGUGGAUGAGUAUGUCUUUAAGAGCCUGUUGUCUGUGAAAUAAACUGUUAAUUAAAAAUUCA